Molecule: ribosomal RNA, 218 nt
Filed under: uncultured bacterium
Lineage: Bacteria
Description: partial 16S ribosomal RNA
Rfam family: Bacterial small subunit ribosomal RNA
Source: RNAcentral
UAACCUGCCUUGUAGCGGGGGGAUAACUAUUGGAAACGAUAGCUAAUACCGCAUAACAAUGGAUGACACAUGUCAUUUAUUUGAAAGGGGCAAUUGUUCCACUACAAGAUGGACCUGCGUUGUAUUAGCUAGUAGGUGAGGUAAUGGCUCACCUAGGCGACGAUACAUAGCCGACCUGAGAGGGUGAUCGGCCACACUGGGACUGAGACACGGCCCAG